AAGUAUUGUUAUUUAAAUCCACAGAGAGCUCUCUGUUUUAUUGAUAUGCUUGUGCGAAUUUCUAUAAGAAUUUUUUGGUUUGGUUUAAUUUUUGGGGUUGGGUUUUUGUGAACUUGUUUGUUUCAUAGAAGUUAAUGGAAUUUACAAAUGAAACAAACAUUAAAUUUGGGGUUGAAAUUACCGUAUACAUAUCUGGUGAAUGAAUUAUAUUCUUUAUAUUGUUUUGCAAUUGAUGUUUUAUGCGGCCAGUGAUCUAGUGAAUGUGUAUUGCAUCAUUGCUUUUGAGUUUGCUAUAUAGUUGUUUGAUGAAAUGCAUGAGAGAGAUAUGACUACUACUCUAAUAUAUCAACUCUUUGAUUCUGUUCUCUAGCGGAAGAUUACAUUUUGAAGUUACUUUUAAUAGUUCAAAAAAAAAAAUUUUGUAGAAGAAAAUUUGUAAAGGUAGUGAUUAUUUUACACAGUUUGUUUGAUUGUAUUUUGUGGAAAAAUGGCUUCUUGGAGGUUGUUUUAUUGUAUUCUACAUUUAUACUAUUCAAAAUACUGUUUAGUCUCUGGUCUUCUCAUGUCUUGUAUAAUAAUGUCUCUUUUCAGUUGGUGGAAUAAGAGAGAAGGACAACACAAUUUAGAGUGCAGUUUAGCAAGCUUGCCAAGAGCCAUGGAUGAAAGUCCACUUUCACUCCCUACAAAUGCACCUUCUAUGCCAAAUGUACCACCCCUUAAAUCCCAAUAUGAUUCUACUGAGGCUGAAGGCCAAUUUGAUUUGUUAAUGUUCCAAUUUGUGUGGAGGAUGAUGAGGAUGAUGAAGAUUACAAUUUAAGUGACUCUGUUGAAUCUGAUGAUGAUAUAAAUGAAGAUUUUGGAUUGGGGGAUGAUAGAAUUAGUAGAGAGAUUUGGGGCAAGUAACUUUAGGGAGUUUGGAAUGGUGAAGGAGAUGAUCAUACUUGAAUAGCAAAGAUUUGGCUUUUUUAAAUUAUUUUUUUCUAUGGGGAUGUAAAAAAUUGAAUAUUUUUUUAAUUAUAUUUUUUCAUAUAAAGAAAUUGAAGAGGACAAUAUCAUUUUUGUA
Quercus robur (English oak) is the source of this 1063-nucleotide long non-coding RNA. RefSeq lists it as uncharacterized. Lineage: Eukaryota; Viridiplantae; Streptophyta; Magnoliopsida; Fagales; Fagaceae. The record is from RefSeq and is a predicted model, not a curated record. The transcript has 2 exons.